GUUCAAAACAGGAAAAAUUAUAUUAAAAAUGAAAAUUACGUUAAAUAAGAUUUCUACAAUGAAAUAAACACAACUGCUCUAGCAAACAACUUUAUCAAGAAUUUAAAAAUAGAAAAGAUGUUAUUCAUAUCCAUUUCACCACGUUCCUGUUACGACCGCGAAAAAAAUAAAAUUAAUAAAAUAAGAACUCAAACUAUAACAUAAUAGACAAGUUCUAUUUAUAGUAUUGAUAAAAUUUAGCAUACCUAACACAUGAAACCUGAAAACAUCUCCUCUCGUAAAUACUAUAUACAAAGCAUUAAAAUGAGCCCCUUUUUUUUUUUACUUACACGAUUUGAAGAUUUGUUAAGCUGCUGAUGCUUGAUAAUUUGAAAAUCUAUUCUUGCCCCGUAAUAUGUAAACAUUAAGAAAAAAACCCAAAAAAUAAAAAUUCAGUCUACAUAAAUACAUAUUUCAAUUCCCCAACGACAAACAAAGUAGAAUACAAAACUCAAAACUUAGAAGCCAAAAUUGAACAAAAAAUUUAUACAAAAACAAUUAGAAAAAUUAAAUCCUCAAACAUUUCAAAUUUGCGAACUACAGUACACGUCUAAAGAUAAAUAGAUAUACUUCUUUUUCAAUAGCACAGAAAUAUGAAAUAGGCACAUUCUUGCAUAAGUUGCUAUGCCACAACAACAUAAAAGUCAUUUAAACCACAUUUUAACAGAUGCAAUAAAACCAAACAAUCCAGACCAAGAACAAUACAGAAUUUAUAGGUUCACUACAACAAUAUAUAAAACAUAUCUUUUUAUGUAAAUAAAUUGGUGAGUUAAAAAAAUUCAAAGGGUAUGUUGAUUCUCAAUUACUUACAU
RNAcentral lists this long non-coding RNA (851 nucleotides) under Malus domestica (apple). Its description in RNAcentral is "long non-coding RNA (MDOM_LNC003770)". Lineage: Eukaryota; Viridiplantae; Streptophyta; Magnoliopsida; Rosales; Rosaceae. The record is from RNAcentral.